CCUACGGGUGGCAGCAGUGGGGAAUAUUGGUCAAUGGGCGGAAGGCUGAACCAGCCAUGCCGCGUGAAGGUCAGUGCCCUUUGGGCGUUAAACUUCUUUUGUGCGGGAGCAAUAAUGGUCACGUGUGGCCAGACGAGAGUACCGUACGCAUAAGCAUCGGCUAACUCCGUGCCAGCAGCCGCGGUAAUACGGGGGAUGCAAGCGUUAUCCGGAUUUAUUGGGUGUAAAGGGUGCGUAGGCUGGGAGGUAAGUCAGCGGUGAAAUGCCCUCGCUCAACGGGGUGAAGUGCCAUUGAUACUGCCGGGCUGGAAUGCGGAUGCCGUGGGAGGAAUGUGGGGUGUAGCGGGGAAAUGCAUAGAAAUCACACAGAACACCGAUGCGAAGGCAGCUCACGAAUCCGCGAUUGACGCUGAUGCACGAAAGCGUGGGUAGCAAACAGGAUUAGAUACCCCAGUAGUC
Molecule: ribosomal RNA, 459 nt
Filed under: uncultured bacterium
Lineage: Bacteria
Description: partial 16S ribosomal RNA
Rfam family: Bacterial small subunit ribosomal RNA
Source: RNAcentral